GAUGAACGCUAGCUACAGGCUUAACACAUGCAAGUCGAGGGACCGGCGCACGGGUGAGUAACACGUAUCCAACCUGCCCUUUACUCGGGGAUAGCCUUUCGAAAGAAAGAUUAAUACCCGAUGUAAAGGAUGGGGAGGCGUUCCAUUAGGUUGUUGGUGAGGUAACGGCUCCCCAAGCCUUCGAUGGAUAGGGGUUCUGAGAGGAAGGUCCACCACAGUGGAACUGAGACACGUUCCAAACUCCGACGGGAGGCAGAAGGGAGGAAUAUUGGUCAAUGGGCGUUAGCCUGAACCAGCCAAGUAGCGUGAAGGAUGAAGGCUUAUGGGUCGUAAACUUCUUGUAUAUAUGAAUAUGUAUUAUAUGAAUAAGGAUGGGCUAACUCCGUGCCAGCAGCCGCGGUAAUUC
This 406-nucleotide ribosomal RNA is filed under the name uncultured bacterium. RNAcentral describes it as "partial 16S ribosomal RNA". It matches the Rfam family "Bacterial small subunit ribosomal RNA", at positions 28 to 526 of the family's 1533-position model. The record is from RNAcentral.